Molecule: non-coding RNA, 392 nt
Organism: Myodes glareolus (Bank vole)
Lineage: Eukaryota; Metazoa; Chordata; Mammalia; Rodentia; Cricetidae
Source: RefSeq, a predicted model, not a curated record
GCAGGCUGAACCGACAGUGUGAAGAGCAGACAUGUUCUGGGACUGCCAGUCAGCGGGACCCAGAGGGCAGCCACGAGCGGAGACUGCGAAGAACCGGAUGGCAGAGGCAUCCAUAUGAAGAUCAGAGUCAAUAUGGCGACCACCCAGGAGUGAAGAACCCUCAGACUGUCCAAGGGGUGACUGGACUCAUGUCAGAAAAUAUACCAGAUCCAGUCAAGUUGACAACCAAGAUAACCAUCACAAACGGGUAAACCUCUCUGCCCCAGAGAUGGUCCAGGGAGAGAGAGGCUGCCAGAGGAAAGAAACACAAGAGAGCAGACCUGGAUCAAAGGGAAUGCCACGGGGCUGGGCCCCAGGAACACAACCUGUGGGCACUGCAGGACCAGUCCCAG